Molecule: ribosomal RNA, 484 nt
Filed under: uncultured bacterium
Lineage: Bacteria
Description: partial 16S ribosomal RNA
Rfam family: Bacterial small subunit ribosomal RNA
Source: RNAcentral
AUUGAACGCUGGCGGCAUGCCUUACACAUGCAAGUCGAACGGCAGCGCGGACUUCGGUCUGGCGGCGAGUGGCGAACGGGUGAGUAAUACAUCGGAACGUACCCUGUUGUGGGGGAUAACUAGUCGAAAGAUUAGCUAAUACCGCAUACGACCUGAGGGUGAACGUGGGGGACCGCAAGGCCUCACGCAGCAGGAGCGGCCGAUGUCUGAUUAGCUAGUUGGUGGGGUAAAGGCCCACCAAGGCGACGAUCAGUAGCUAGUCUGAGAGGACGAUCAGCCACACUGGGACUGAGACACGGCCCAGACUCCUACGGGAGGCAGCAGUGGGGAAUUUUGGACAAUGGGGGCAACCCUGAUCCAGCAAUGCCGCGUGUGUGAAGAAGGCCUUCGGGUUGUAAAGCACUUUUGUCCGGAAAGAAAUCGCGCUGGUUAAUACCUGGCGUGGAUGACGGUACCGGAAGAAUAAGCACCGGCUAACUACGUG